ACCUACGGGGGCAGCAGUAGGGAAUUUUCGUCAAUGGGCGCAAGCCUGAACGAGCAAUGCCGCGUGAACGAGGAAGGUCUUCGGAUCGUAAAGUUCUGUUGCAGGGGAAAAAGAGCGGAGAGAGGAAAUGCUUUCUGAUUGAUAUUACCCUUCGAGGAAGUCACGGCUAACUACGUGCCAGCAGCCGCGGUAAUACGUAGGUGGCGAGCGUUAUCCGGAAUGAUUGGGCGUAAAGGGUGCGUAGGCGGCCUGCUAAGUCUGGAGUGAAAGGUACCGGCUCAACCGGUACAGGCUCUGGAAACUGG
This 305-nucleotide ribosomal RNA is filed under the name uncultured bacterium. RNAcentral's name for it is "bacterial SSU rRNA". It matches the Rfam family "Bacterial small subunit ribosomal RNA", at positions 337 to 636 of the family's 1533-position model. The record is from RNAcentral.